AGUGAACGCUGGCGGUAGGCCUAACACAUGCAAGUCGAACGGCAGCACAGUAAGAGCUUGCUCUUACGGGUGGCGAGUGGCGGACGGGUGAGGAAUACAUCGGAAUCUACUUUUUCGUGGGGGAUAACGUAGGGAAACUUACGCUAAUACCGCAUACGACCUACGGGUGAAAGCAGGGGAUCUUCGGACCUUGCGCGAUUGAAUGAGCCGAUGUCGGAUUAGCUAGUUGGCGGGGUAAAGGCCCACCAAGGCGACGAUCCGUAGCUGGUCUGAGAGGAUGAUCAGCCACAUUGGAACUGAGACACGGUCCAGACUCCUACGAGAGGCAGCAGUGGGGAAUAUUGGACAAUGGGCGCAAGCCUGGUCCAGCCAUACCGCGUGGGUGAAGAAGGCCUUCGGGUUGUAAAGCCCUUUUGUUGGGAAAGAAAAGCAGCCGGUUAAGACCCCGCUGUUCUGACGGUACCCAAAGAAUAAGCACCGGCUAACUUCGUG
Molecule: ribosomal RNA, 492 nt
Filed under: uncultured bacterium
Lineage: Bacteria
Description: partial 16S ribosomal RNA
Rfam family: Bacterial small subunit ribosomal RNA
Source: RNAcentral